This 253-nucleotide ribosomal RNA is filed under the name uncultured bacterium. RNAcentral describes it as "partial 16S ribosomal RNA". It matches the Rfam family "Bacterial small subunit ribosomal RNA", at positions 524 to 776 of the family's 1533-position model. The record is from RNAcentral.
UACGGAGGGUGCAAGCGUUAUCCGGAUUCACUGGGUUUAAAGGGUGCGUAGGCGGCCAGCUAAGUCCGCUGUGAAAUCUCGAGGCUCAACUUCGAGCUGUCGGUGGAAACUGUCUGGCUAGAGUCCGGAAGAGGAGAAUGGAAUUCCUGGUGUAGCGGUGAAAUGCGUAGAUAUCGGGAGGAACACCUGAGGCGAAGGCGGGCUACUGGGCCGAUACUGACGCUGAUGCGCGAAAGCCAGGGGAGCAAACGGG